UGAGUCCUACGGGGGGCAGCGGUGGGGAAUAUUGCGCAAUGGGCGAAAGCCUGACGCAGCGACGCCGCGUGAGGGAUGAAGGGCUUCGGAUCGUAAACCUCUGUCAGCAGGGAAGAACGGUCACUGUGCUAAUCAGCAGUGACUUGACGGUACCUGCAAAGGAAGCAACGGCUAACUCCGUGCCAGCAGCCGCGGUAAUACGGAGGGUGCGAGCGGUAAUCGGAAUUACUGGGCGUAAAGCGCUCGUAGGCGGUAUGUCAAGUCAAGGGUUAAAUCCCCGCGCUCAACGUGUGAACGG
RNAcentral lists this ribosomal RNA (298 nucleotides) under uncultured bacterium. RNAcentral describes it as "partial 16S ribosomal RNA". It matches the Rfam family "Bacterial small subunit ribosomal RNA", at positions 333 to 623 of the family's 1533-position model. The record is from RNAcentral.